Molecule: ribosomal RNA, 492 nt
Filed under: uncultured bacterium
Lineage: Bacteria
Description: partial 16S ribosomal RNA
Rfam family: Bacterial small subunit ribosomal RNA
Source: RNAcentral
AGUGAACGCUGGCGGUAGGCCUAACACAUGCAAGUCGAACGGCAGCACAGUAAGAGCUUGCUCUUACGGGUGGCGAGUGGCGGACGGGUGAGGAAUACAUCGGAAUCUACUUUUUCGUGGGGGAUAACGUAGGGAAACUUACGCUAAUACCGCAUACGACCUACGGGUGAAAGCAGGGGAUCUUCGGACCUUUCGCGAUUGAAUGAGCCGAUGUCGGAUUAGCUAGUUGGCGGGGUAAAGGCCCACCAAGGCGACGAUCCGUAGCUGGUCUGAGAGGAUGAUCAGCCACACUGGAACUGAGACACGGUCCAGACUCCUACGGGAGGCAGCAGUGGGGAAUAUUGGGCAAUGGGCGAAAGCCUGAUCCAGCCAUACCGCGUGAGUGAAGAAGGCCUUCGGAUUGUAAAGCCCUUUUGUUGGGAAAGAAAAGAAGCAGGUUAAUACCCCGCCGUUCUGACGGUACCCAAAGAAUAAGCACCGGCUAACUUCGUG